Molecule: ribosomal RNA, 492 nt
Filed under: uncultured bacterium
Lineage: Bacteria
Description: partial 16S ribosomal RNA
Rfam family: Bacterial small subunit ribosomal RNA
Source: RNAcentral
AUUGAACGCUGGCGGCAUGCUUUACACAUGCAAGUCGAACGGUAACAGGCCUUCGGGUGCUGACGAGUGGCGCACGGGUGCGUAAUACAUCGGAACGUGCCCCGUGGUGGGGGAUAACGCAGCGAAAGCUGUGCUAAUACCGCAUAUGAUCUGAGGAUGAAAGCGGGGGACCUGGCAGCAGUGUUUGGCCUCGGCCCUUUCUAGCAGCCGAUGUCGGAUUAGGUAGUUGGUGGGGUAAAGGCCUACCAAGCCGACGAUCUGUAGCUGGUCUGAGAGGACGACCAGCCACACUGGGACUGAGACACGGCCCAGACUCCUACGGGAGGCAGCAGUGGGGAAUUUUGGACAAUGGGCGCAAGCCUGAUCCAGCAAUGCCGCGUGCGGGAUGAAGGCCUUCGGGUUGUAAACCGCUUUUGUACGGAACGAAAAGGCUCUGGCUAAUACCUGGGGGUGAUGACGGUACCGUAAGAAUAAGCACCGGCUAACUACGUG